Molecule: long non-coding RNA, 1852 nt
Organism: Homo sapiens (human)
Lineage: Eukaryota; Metazoa; Chordata; Mammalia; Primates; Hominidae
Source: Ensembl
GGGGGGAGGAGCCAAGAUGGCUGAAUAGGAACAGCUCCGGUCUACAGCUCCCAGCGUGAGCGACGCAGAAGACGGGUGAUUUCUGCAUUUCCAUCUGAGGCUUAAAAAACGGCGCAUCACGAGAUUAUAUCCCGCACCUGGCUCGGAGGGUCCUACGCCCACGGAGUCUCGCUGAUUGCUAGCACAGCAGUCUGAGAUCAAACUGCAAGGCGGCAGUGAGGCUGGGGGAGGGGCGUCCGCCAUUGCCCAGGCUUGCUUAGGUAAACAAAGCAUUUGGGAAUCUCGAACUGGGUGGAGCCCACCACAGCUCAAGGAGGCCUGCCUGCCUCCGUAGGCUCCACCUCUGGGGGCAGGGCACAGACAAACAAAAAGACAGCAGUAACCUCUGCAGACUUAAAUGUCCCUGUCUGACAGCUUUGAAGAGAGCAGUGGUUCUCCCAGUACGCAGCUGGAGAUCUGAGAACGGGCAGACUGCCUCCUCAAGUGGGUCCCUGACCCCUGACCCCCGAGCAGCCUAACUGGGAGGCACCCCCAGCAGGGGCACACUGACACCUCACAAGGCAGGGUAUUCCAACAGACCUGCAGCUGAGGGUCCUGUCUGUUAGAAGGAAAACUAACAAACAGAAAGGACAUCCACACCAAAAACCCAUCUGUACAUCACCAUCAUCAAAGACCAAAAGUAGAUAAAACCACAAAGAUGGGGAAAAAACAGAACAGAAAAACUGGAAGCUCUAAAAAGCAGAGCGCCUCUCCUCCUCCAAAGGAACACAGUUCCUCACCAGCAAUGGAACAAAGCUGAAUGGAGAACGACUUUGACGAGCUGAGAGAAGAAGGCUUCAGACUAACAAGGCUGAAUCUCUUGUUAGGAACAAAUGCAGCUGGUGACUUUAAGGUGAAGCUUGUAUUUAUUUACCGUUCCGCAAAUCCUACAGCCCUUAAGAUUUAUAUUAAAUCCACUCUGCCUGUGCUCUAUAAAUGGAACACAAAAGACUUGAAGUUAGUACAUGUGUUUACAGCAUGAUUUCCUGAAUAUUUUAAGCCCGCUGUUGAGAACUACUCCUCAGAAAAUCAGUAGCUUCUUUCAACAUAUUACUGCUCAUUGAUAAUGCAUAUUGUCAGCAAAGACUUCUGCUGGAGAUAUACGAGAUUAAUGUUUUUCUGCCUGCUAACACAAUAUUCAUUCUGCAACCCAUGGAUCAAAGACUAAUUCUGACUUUAGGUUUUAUUAUUUGAGAAAUACACUAUGUAAGACUAGAAUAGGCAGGGAUUCCUUUGAUCUAGGCAAAGUAAAUUAGAAACCUUUUGGAAAAGAUUCACCAUUCUAGAUAUCAACAACAUUUUUUAUUCAUGGAGGAUGUCAAAAUAUCAACAUUAGCAGGAGUUUAGAAGAAAUUGAUUCCAACCCUCAUGGAGGAUGACCUUGAAACCGUCAAGACUUCAGUGGUGGAUGUAACUACAGAUGUGGUAGAAAUAGCAAGAGAACUAGAACUAGAAGUGGAGCCUGAAGAUGUGACUAAGUUUUCACAAUCUCGUAAUAAAACUUGAACAGAUGAGAACUUGCAUCUUUAGGUUGAGCAAAGAAAGUGGUUUCUUGAGAUGGAAUUUACUCCUGUAAAGGAUGCUGUAAACAUUAUCAAUAUGACAACAAAAAAUUUAGAGUAUUACAUAAACUUAUUUGGUAAAAACAGCAGCAAGUUUCAAGAGGACAGACCAAUUUUGAAAGAAGUUCUACUGUGGAUAAAAUGUUAUCAAAAAAACAACAUCACAUAUUUGUUGUUUUUAUUUUAAAUCAAAGUAUGUUUAUUGUUUUCUUAACCAUAAUGUUAUUUCACACUUAAUCAACUACAGUAUA